AUGGGGUCGUCGGGGAACCGGGUGGUGCUGGCGGUGAACGGCGCGCGGCACGAGGCCGCCGGCGUCGACCCGUCCAUGACGCUGCUCGAGUUCCUGCGCACGCGGACGCCCGUCAGGGGCCCCAAGCUCGGCUGCGGCGAAGGUGGAUGUGGUGCAUGUGUGGUACUUAUCUCCAAGUAUGACCUGGCUACUGACAAGGUGACUGAGUUCUCAGCGAGCUCCUGCCUGACGCUCGUUGGCAGCCUCAACCACUGCUCGGUGAUCACCAGCGAGGGCAUCGGCAAUAUCCGCGAUGGCUUCCACCCAGUACAGCAGCGCCUCUCUGGCUUCCACGCCUCGCAGUGCGGCUUCUGCACUCCCGGCAUGUGCAUGUCCAUCUUUUCUGCCCUCGUCAAGGCCGACAAGACCGGGGACCCCGCCCCACCGCUGGGAUUCUCCAAGCUCACCUGCUCUGAGGCUGAGCAUGCCGUCUCCGGCAACCUGUGUCGUUGCACCGGCUACCGGCCCAUCAUCGAUGCCUGCAAGAGCUUUGCUGCUGACGUCGACCUCGAGGACCUUGGCCUCAAUUCCUUCUGGAAGAAAGGUAUCGACCGUGCCGAUGUAGGCAAGCUACCGGGGUACUCCAGCGGCGCCAUCUGUACCUUCCCUGAGUUCCUCAAGGCCGAGAUCAAGGGUCAAACAAACGAUGUUCCAGCCGCUACGUACGAUGGCUGGUACCGUCCCAAGAGCAUCCAGGAUCUCCGCAACCUCUUCGACUCCAACUGGUUCAACGAAAACUCAGUUAAGAUCGUGGCGUCAAACACCGGCGCCGGAGUGUACAAGGAUCAAGACCUUUAUGAAAAGUACAUCGACAUCAAAGGGAUACCGGAGCUUUCGGUCAUCAACAGGAGCAACAAGGGGGUGGAGAUCGGGGCAGCCGUGUCCAUCUCCAAAGCCAUUGAGGUCUUCUCCGAUGGCACUCCCGUAUUCAGAAAGACCGCCGGUCACCUGAGCAAGGUGGCCUCGCCGUUCGUCCGGAACACGGCGACGAUCGGAGGGAACGUGAUCAUGGCUCAGAGGCUGCCUUUCGCUUCAGACAUCGUCACUGUCCUUCUUGCCGUCGGUUCGACAGUGACAAUCCAGACGGCUUCCAAGAUGCUGUGCCUGACACUGGAGGAGUUCUUGGAGCAACCUCCGUGUGACGCCAAGACCAUAUUGCUCACCAUAUUUGUCCCAGAUUGGGGUUCAGACAGUGUCAUCUUCGAGACCUCUCGUGCAGCUCCGAGACCGUUCGGCAAUGCUGUGUCCUAUGUGAAUUCUGCAUUCCUGGCAAGGACUUCAGGGGAUGCAGCAUCAGGGGAGCUCCUCAUUGAGGAUAUCUGCCUCGCAUUCGGAGCUUACGGCGUUGAUCACGCCACCCGGGCUCGGAAGGUUGAAAAAUUCCUGAAGGGGAAACCAGUGAGUGCACCUGUGGUACUUGAAGCGGUUCAGUUGCUGAAAGAUGUUAUCUCGCCGUCAGAAGGCACCACACACCCUGAGUACAGAGUCAGCUUGGCGGUCAGUUUCUUGUUCAGUUUCCUUUCUUCACUUAGUAACAACCUGAAUGAACCUGCAAAGUCUAUUGCUCCCAAUGGCUCAUGUGCCGAAUCAUCGCCUGAGAAGCAUGAUGAGGUUGCCAGCGAUGGCUUGCCAAUUCGCUCAAGGCAAGAACUGGUUUUCAAUGAUGAAUACGAACCUGUCGGCAAGCCAAUCACGAAAGCUGGGGCGGAGCUGCAAGCUUCUGGGGAGGCUGUGUAUGUUGAUGACAUCCCAGCUCCCAAGGAUUGUCUCUACGGAGCAUUUAUCUACAGCACACACCCUCAUGCCCAUAUAAAAGGUGUCAACUUCAAAUCAUCGUUGGCUUCCAAAAAGGUCAUCACGGUUAUCUCCGCAAAGGACAUUCCAGCUGGUGGAAGAAAUGUUGGAUCCGCCUUCCCGAUGCUAGGAGAUGAAGCACUUUUCGGUGAUCCGGUGUCUGAAUUUGCUGGUCAGAAUAUUGGCAUUGUGAUCGCUGAAACACAGAAGUACGCUUAUAUGGCGGCGAAGCAAGCCAUCAUUGAGUAUAGCACCGAGAAUCUUGAGCCGCCAAUUCUGACAAUAGAGGACGCCAUCCAACAUAAUAGUUACUUCCCUGUUCUCCCAUUUUUGGCUCCUCAGCCAGUUGGGGACUUUGACCAAGGGAUGUCUGAAGCGGAUCACAAGAUACUAUCAGGAGAGAUAAAACUUGAAUCACAGUACUACUUCUACAUGGAGACGCAGACCGCAUUGGCCAUCCCUGAUGAAGAUAACUGCAUCACUGUCUACUCCUCGGCGCAGCUACCCGAGAUCACGCAGAAUGUCGUCGCGGACUGUCUCGGCAUUCCGUACCACAAUGUUCGCAUAAUCACCAGAAGAGUUGGAGGCGGCUUUGGUGGAAAGGCAAUGAAAGGGUCCUAUGUCGCAUGUGCCUGUGCACUUGCAGCGUUCAAGCUGCGGCGCCCUGUCAGGAUGUACCUCGACCGCAAGACCGACAUGAUCAUGGCAGGUGGGCGGCACCCGAUGAAGGUGAAGUACUCGGUUGGGUUCAAGUCGGACGGCACACUCACGGCAUUAUACGUCGACCUCGGGAUGAAUGCCGGGAUAUCACCAGACUUGAGCCCGUUGAUGCCGGGUUGCACCAUCGGUGCUUUGAAGAAGUACAACUGGGGUGCCCUUGCCUUCGACAUCAAGUUGUGCAAGACCAACGUCUCGUCAAAGUCCGCAAUGCGGGCGCCUGGCGACGUGCAAGGCUCCUUCAUCGCGGAGGUCAUCAUCGAGCACGUCGCAUCCGUGCUUGCGGCCAACCCCAACACCAUCCGUAGGAAGAACCUCCACAACGUUGAGAGCCUCACGAAAUUCUACGGUGAUGCCGCGGGGGAUGCCCCCACGUACAGCCUCGUCGACAUCUUCGACAAGCUGGCCUUGUCGUCGGCGUACCGGAGCAGGGCGGAGGCAGUUGAAUGGUUCAAUGGCGGGAGCAGGUGGAGGAAGCGUGGCAUCUCGUGUGUGCCCAUCACCUAUGAGGUGUCCCUUCGGCCGACGCCGGGGAAGGUGUCCAUCCUGAACGACGGCUCAAUCGCCGUGGAGGUCGGCGGCGUGGAGCUCGGGCAGGGGUUGUAUACCAAGGUGAAGCAGAUGACGGUGUUCGGGCUGGGGGAGCUCUGCCCUGACGCCGAUGGGCUGCUCGGUAAGGUGCGCGUGAUCCAGGUUGACUCACUGAGCAUGAUACAGAGCGGGUUCACCGGCGGGAGCACCACCUCCGAGACCAGCUGUGAGGCGGUCCGGCAGUCGUGCGCUGCGCUCGUUGAGCGCCUCAAGCCCAUCAAAGAGGGUCUCGAGGCCAAGUCCGGCGCAGCAGCGCCAUGGAGCUCCUUGAUCGCCCAGGCGAAAAUGGCGAGCAUGAACCUGUCGGCACAUGCCUUCUGGACGCCCGACCCAGCCUUUGUAAAAUACCUCAACUACGGAGCCGCCGUCAGCGAGGUGGAAAUCGAUGUUCUGACUGGAGCGACGACGAUCCUGAGGAGCGACCUCGUGUACGACUGCGGGCAGAGCCUGAACCCGGCGGUGGACCUUGGCCAGGUGGAAGGCGCAUUCGUGCAAGGGGUUGGGUUCUUCACAAACGAGGAGUACACGACGAACGCCGACGGGCUGGUGGUGAACGACGGCACGUGGACGUACAAGAUCCCGACGGUGGACACCAUCCCAAAGCAGUUCAACGUGGAGCUCAUCAGCAGCGCGCGCGACAAGAAGCGGGUACUCUCCUCCAAGGCGUCCGGCGAGCCGCCGCUGCUGCUGGCAGCGUCGGUGCACUGCGCCAUGCGGGAGGCCAUCAGAGCGGCUAGGAGGGAAUUCUCGGUCAACUCGCCACUGACAUUUCAGAUGGAUGUGCCGGCCACCAUGGCGGACGUCAAGGAGCUCUGUGGCCUCGACGUCGUCGAGAGGCAUCUCCAGCGCCUCUCCUCUGCCACCGCCAGGGCCUGA
RNAcentral lists this ribosomal RNA (4017 nucleotides) under Triticum aestivum (bread wheat). Its description in RNAcentral is "partial small subunit ribosomal RNA". The record is from RNAcentral. Lineage: Eukaryota; Viridiplantae; Streptophyta; Magnoliopsida; Poales; Poaceae.